UUGAUUCUAAUUAAAUAAUUCUUUAUAUUUCUAUUUAUCUAUAACAGCAUAAGCAAAAAUUAAU
RNAcentral lists this transfer RNA (64 nucleotides) under Neomenia carinata. RNAcentral's name for it is "tRNA-Met". Lineage: Eukaryota; Metazoa; Mollusca; Solenogastres; Neomeniamorpha; Neomeniidae. The record is from RNAcentral.